GCCGAGGUAGCUCAGCCUGGGAGAGCGCUCGGCUGAAGACCGAGUUGUCGCAUGUUCAAACCCUGCCCUCGGCACCA
This 77-nucleotide transfer RNA is filed under the name Candidatus Bathyarchaeota archaeon. Its description in RNAcentral is "tRNA-Phe". It matches the Rfam family "tRNA". From Rfam's summary of the family: Transfer RNA (tRNA) molecules are approximately 80 nucleotides in length. Their secondary structure includes four short double-helical elements and three loops (D, anti-codon, and T loops). Lineage: Archaea; Thermoproteati; Candidatus Bathyarchaeota. The record is from RNAcentral. RNAcentral also lists the same sequence under 11 other names.